UUCAGCCAUAUGAUCAAAUGACCUUCAAAUUAUUCAGGAGAACCAAAUAGUUAUUAUUUAUUAUCAAGAUAUUUGAUGUUUAACACAGAUUCUUCUGUGAGUUAUUGAUUAUUGAUGUGAUUGUCAGGUAUCAGUCCCCCUAAAGUGAGCGUCCUGCCGCCGUCCAGUGAAGAGAUUUCCACAAAGCAAGCAGCAACACUGAUGUGUGUGGCCAACAAGGGCUUCCCCUCAGACUGGAGUCUGAACUGGAAGGUGGACGGGAUCAGCAGCAGGUCUCAGUACAGCAGUGUUGCUCUCCUGGAGAAGGACGGUCUGUACAGCUGGAGCAGCAGUCUGACUCUCUCUGAGCAGGAGUGGAGCUCAGUGAUCUCAGUCAGCUGUGAGCUCACACAGAAAGACCAGCGUGAUAAAGUCACUGGAGAAUUGAGGAGAGAUCAGUGUUCACAGUAGAUCCACUCACUCUCUCCUCUGUCUCACAUCAAGACUAACAGACUAACUGUGUUUC
Misgurnus anguillicaudatus (oriental weatherfish) is the source of this 505-nucleotide non-coding RNA. NCBI's taxonomy places the organism in Eukaryota, Metazoa, Chordata, Actinopteri, Cypriniformes, Cobitidae. The record is from the annotation of a RefSeq genome assembly.